GACGAACGCUGGCGGCGUGCUUAACACAUGCAAGUCGAACGGAAAGGCCCUGCUUGCAGGGUACUCGAGUGGCGAACGGGUGAGUAACACGUGGGUGAUCUGCCCUGCACUUCGGGAUAAGCCUGGGAAACUGGGUCUAAUACCGGAUAGGAGCCAUUUUUAGUGUGAUGGUUGGAAAGUUUUUUCGGUGUAGGAUGAGCUCGCGGCCUAUCAGCUUGUUGGUGGGGUAAUGGCCUACCAAGGCGGCGACGGGUAGCCGGCCUGAGAGGGUGGACGGCCACAUUGGGACUGAGAUACGGCCCAGACACCUACGGGAGGCAGCAGUGGGGAAGAUUGCACAAUGGGCGCAGGCCUGAUGCAGCGACGCCGCGUGGGGGAUGACGGCCUUCGGGUUGGAAACUCCUUUCGCUAGGGACGAAGCUUUUUGUGACGGUACCUAGAUAAGAAGCACCGGCUAACUACGUG
RNAcentral lists this ribosomal RNA (465 nucleotides) under uncultured bacterium. Its description in RNAcentral is "partial 16S ribosomal RNA". It matches the Rfam family "Bacterial small subunit ribosomal RNA", at positions 28 to 507 of the family's 1533-position model. The record is from RNAcentral.